This 497-nucleotide ribosomal RNA is filed under the name uncultured bacterium. Its description in RNAcentral is "partial 16S ribosomal RNA". It matches the Rfam family "Bacterial small subunit ribosomal RNA", at positions 28 to 507 of the family's 1533-position model. The record is from RNAcentral.
GAUGAACGCUGGCGGCGUGCCUAAUACAUGCAAGUCGAGCGAACAGACGAGGAGCUUGCUCCUCUGACGUUAGCGGCGGACGGGUGAGUAACACGUGGAUAACCUACCUAUAAGACUGGGAUAACUUCGGGAAACCGGAGCUAAUACCGGAUAAUAUAUUGAACCGCAUGGUUCAAUAGUGAAAGACGGUUUUGCUGUCACUUAUAGAUGGAUCCGCGCCGCAUUAGCUAGUUGGUAAGGUAACGGCUUACCAAGGCAACGAUGCGUAGCCGACCUGAGAGGGUGAUCGGCCACACUGGAACUGAGACACGGUCCAGACUCCUACGGGAGGCAGCAGUAGGGAAUCUUACGCAAUGGGCGAGAGCCUGACGGAGCAACGCCGCGUGAGUGAUGAAGGUCUUCGGAUCGUAAAACUCUGUUAUUAGGGAAGAACAAAUGUGUAAGUAACUAUGCACGUCUUGACGGUACCUAAUCAGAAAGCCACGGCUAACUACGUG